UUCAGAGAAGAGAAACAUUUGGUCUGCUAGGGUUUUUCCUCAUCUUUCAAUCAUUGUCACUCUCUCAUCCUCUUCUUCUGCUGUAUCUCUCGUUCGCUUAUCAUCUCUGCUGCAACACGCCUCAGACGAUGUCACAACCUGCUUCCGCCGCCGCGCAACACGCUGCCGUCGCCAGGACAACACGCUUCCAGGUGAAAUAGAUACCUGAGUGAUUCUCUUGGUACGGGUGAAACCAUUGAUUUAUGCAUCUCUCACCACUUUUUAAGUCUUUCCUUCUUUUAAUGGCUUCCUCGUCUGAGUAGAAUUGAUAAUCUUAAUACUUAGGAAGCACUAGGAAUCAUAAUAUUGAAUCUAUUAGCAUAAAGUUGUGACAUAUAUAGUUUAAAUUUCUGAAUGUUAACUUUCUGGUUUAAUGCAUUGAUUUGAUUUACCGAUUUGUUACGCUUGAUAAAUGAACCUGAUGGACAUGAUAUUUAUCUGGUUGAUUUUUCUGCCUUUGAUUCGUUUAAAUGGGAAUUGCUGAUGCCUUCUUAGACCUAGUGAGUAAUGGGACCAUGUUGAGAGAAAAUAAUUUGAAGGAAAUUGAAGGUGAAACUAUGUUGGAAAGCUAGGUUAGCAGCCAUUAACUUUUAUUUUUGACCUUGACUAUCAUGAUCUAUUAGUCUCAAGAAUAAUAUUAAGUUCCAGUCUUCGGAUGACUGCUUCUGCAUUUGCCUUGAUAAAUUAUCUCUCAAUCUGACAAUUGAAUUUCCUCUAUAUUGUUCUUGUUGCAAGCAAAAAAUCAAUGAUCCAACGGACAGGAAUACUGGAAAGGACACAUGAGAUACUAUAAAGAUUAGAGGAACAUCUGAGGGCCAUUGGGCAAUUUACGGUCACUGCAAACAUGAAGGGAAGUAGUGCAAAGGAAGUAGUUGAGAGAGUAUUGAGUCAAACCAUCAUUAUAUGGGUUGCAGGGACCCAUUAUAAGUCCUGUUUUUUAGAAAUGGGAUGGGAAGGUAACAGCAGACUACUAUGCCAUAGUGAUAAGUACCCAAGAAGGCACUAUACAAGUCUAUACAGUAGCUAAGAGCGUGGCAUUCUUAUGUCACCCUUGACCUACAUUUUUGAUGAGGAAACGCCAAGAUGGCAUCAGCUACCUUCUGAACUUGGACUGUAGCAAUUUAUGAUCAAUGGAUGAAAUCUUUUUCAUAUACUAUGGACGUAGAAACGUACCGACUUUGAUGAAAGCUGCAAAGUACACCCUGUUCAGAAUUAGAAACUAAAAAUGCAUUUCUUGAUCUUCAUUUAUAGAAAAUUCUGGAUUGAUAUUGGUUGGAAGUAUUAUCGCGAGCAAGCCUGUAUUUUCCUCCUUUUUGUCUCUCUUUGGUACUUGUUAAUAAUAUGGAUAAAGAAGUGAGUUCGUUUUCUUGGUAGCCUUUAUUUUUUGUUUACUUCUUUAGUUCAAAAAGUCGAGUUAAAGUUGAAGGUUCAAUUGCUAUGAAAU
Arachis duranensis is the source of this 1483-nucleotide long non-coding RNA. RefSeq lists it as uncharacterized. The transcript is spliced from 4 exons. Lineage: Eukaryota; Viridiplantae; Streptophyta; Magnoliopsida; Fabales; Fabaceae. The record is from RefSeq and is a predicted model, not a curated record.